RNAcentral lists this long non-coding RNA (383 nucleotides) under Homo sapiens (human). RNAcentral describes it as "non-protein coding lnc-LRP8-2:1". Lineage: Eukaryota; Metazoa; Chordata; Mammalia; Primates; Hominidae. The record is from RNAcentral.
AGAGGACAGAUGAGGAAACCAAGGCUUGGGAGGAGAAGCGGCGCAUCCUGUGGCACACAGUAGGUGUGACACAAGACAGCUGACUCUGGCUUCCAGGCUCUUCCCACAGAUCUGCAGAGCUUCUGCCCUCCCAGCCCCACCUGCCAGGACUAGGUCCUCUCCGCCGGCCCUGCAGCUGCGUUCUCUGCCUCUGCUCUGUGGACUGAUGCCUCACACGAGCUCCCUGGCCUCUGGCUUCUGCCUCCCCAUGCCCUCUCUUGUGAACAGUCCAUCAGGGCUGGGAGGAAAGCAGGAUGAAACCAGUUCCCAGCGAAGCAGCAUUCGCCAGCAUUUACUUCAUACCUCCCUUUAAUCAACUCACUUUUCUCUAAAAGCUUUAAAAA